AUACUCAUGUAAUCGCUGCACGUUUUUGCAGAGGAAAGUCCAUGCUCACACAAACUGCGAUGUUUGUAGUGUUCGUGCUUGACGAAUUCAUAAGUCAAGGUAGUCUUUAAAGACUAACGGCAGGUGAAGUUCCUAAGUCGCAAGAUAUGGAAUGAUAGCCUUGAAAGUGCCACAGUGACGGAGCUAAAGUGGAAACACUUUAGGUGGAACGAGGUAAACCCCACGAGUGAGCAACCCAAAUUAUGGUAGGGGCAUCCUUUAUUAGGGAAAUGAACCGAACGAGGGACAGGUAAUUCCUGUAGAUAGAUGAUUACAACCGGAGUACGAGGCUGACCACCGUUUGGAGUACAAUGGUACAGAACAUGGCUUAUCGAG
RNAcentral lists this RNase P RNA (375 nucleotides) under Ornithinibacillus hominis. RNAcentral's name for it is "Bacterial RNase P class B". It matches the Rfam family "Bacterial RNase P class B". From Rfam's summary of the family: Ribonuclease P (RNase P) is a ubiquitous endoribonuclease, found in archaea, bacteria and eukarya as well as chloroplasts and mitochondria. Its best characterised activity is the generation of mature 5'-ends of tRNAs by cleaving the 5'-leader elements of precursor-tRNAs. The record is from Rfam by way of RNAcentral. Lineage: Bacteria; Bacillati; Bacillota; Bacilli; Caryophanales; Bacillaceae.